Molecule: long non-coding RNA, 1208 nt
Organism: Bufo gargarizans (Asiatic toad)
Lineage: Eukaryota; Metazoa; Chordata; Amphibia; Anura; Bufonidae
Exons: 4
Source: RefSeq, a predicted model, not a curated record
UCAAGAUACUCUGGAGAUUGUUUGCCAUACAAAGAUGAUGACCAAGAUAUACUGAAGACAGUAACAGAACAAUACCAGGAUUUAAGAUUUGUUAUAGCCGAGAAAACAAAAUGUGGCUUGAUGCAGUCCUUUCAGGAUCUUGUGCAAUUUGUGUUAAAAGAGGAGCAAUUUAAAGCUGUUGCAUCCCUAGCAGAUAUCUGUGGAACUUUCCUUGCCUCCAGUUGUGACUGUGAACGUGGUUUCAGUCUAAUGAAUAUGAUCAAGACAAAAAGUCGCAAUCGUUUGGAAGUGCCACACUUGGAAAUGCUCAUGAGGAUCAAAUUCUUCCUGAAUUCUGGACAAAGGAUUGACCUAGACAAAGUCUAUUCCAAAUGGGUCACAUCAAAAGAUAGACGUUGCAAAGUUUGAACAGUUGAAGUUUGUUGCUUCACAUGUAUUGGUUUACUUAUCCAAGGUUAAAAGGAAGAAGACGUUGCUAGGAUUGGCAUAGUUCCACAUUUCAUGCUUUAUCUUGGUUGUUUGGUGUUGCCUACACUUUCCAAAGGAAAUUGACAGAUGAGAUGACUGAAGUUUAAUGACCUGAAAGAAAUAAUACAAGAUGGGUGCUUCAUGUGGAAAGGUAAGUAGAUUGAGAGGCUAUAGCUUCUUGAUGUUUGGCUGGCUGGUUUUGUCUGUACUAGUAGUGGAUUUCUAUCACAUAUGUACCUCUUGUCUUCCACUAGGUUUACUUAUCCAAGGUUAAAAGGAAGAAGACGUUGCUAGGAUUGGCUUAGUUCCACAUUUCAUGCUUUAUCUUGGUUGUUUGGUGUUGCCUACACUUUCCAAAGGAAAUUGACAGAUGACUGAAGUUUAAUGACCUGAAAGAAAUAAUACAAGAUGGGUGCUUCAUUUGGAAAGGUUUACUUAUCCAAGGUUAAAAGGAAGAAGACGUUGCUAGGAUUGGCAUAGUUCCACAUUUCAUGCUUUAUCUUGGUUGUUUGGUGUUGCCUACACUUUCCAAAGGAAAUUGACAGAUGACUGAAGUUUAAUGACCUGAAAGAAAUAAUACAAGAUGGGUGCUUCAUUUGGAAAGGUUUACUUAUCCAAGGUUAAAAGGAAGAAGACGUUGCUAGGAUUGGCAUAGUUCCACAUUUCAUGCUUUAUCUUGGUUGUUUGGUGUUGCCUACACUUUCCAAAGGAAAUUGACAGAUGACUGAAGUUUAAUGACC